Molecule: transfer RNA, 71 nt
Filed under: Pervagor janthinosoma (blackbar filefish)
Lineage: Eukaryota; Metazoa; Chordata; Actinopteri; Tetraodontiformes; Monacanthidae
Description: tRNA-Gln
Rfam family: tRNA
About the family: Transfer RNA (tRNA) molecules are approximately 80 nucleotides in length.
Source: RNAcentral
UAGUAAGUGGUGUAGUGGAAGCACAGGGAACUUUGAUUUCCCCAGGUUGGGUUCGAGUCCCUUCUUUCUAA